Molecule: ribosomal RNA, 511 nt
Filed under: uncultured bacterium
Lineage: Bacteria
Description: partial 16S ribosomal RNA
Source: RNAcentral
GGAGUUAGCCGGUGCUUCUUCUGCGAGUAACGUCACAGAUGUAAGGUAUUAACUUACACCCUUUCCUCCUCGCUGAAAGUGCUUUACAACCCGAAGGCCUUCUUCACACACGCGGCAUGGCUGCAUCAGGGUUUCCCCCAUUGUGCAAUAUUCCCCACCUGCUGCCUCCCGUAGGAGUCUGGGCCGUGUCUCAGUCCCAGUGUGGCUGAUCAUCCUCUCAGACCAGCUAGGGAUCGUCGCCUAGGUGAGCCUUUACCUCACCUACUAGCUAAUCCCACCUGGGCUUAUCCAUCAGCGCAAGGCCCGAAGGUCCCCUGCUUUCCCCCGUAGGGCGUAUGCGGUAUUAGCAGUCGUUUCCAACUGUUAUCCCCCACAAAUGGGCAAAUUCCCAGGCAUUACUCACCCGUCCGCCGCUCGUCAUCUUCAAAAGCAAGCUUUUGAAAUGUUACCGCUCGACUUGCAUGUGUUAGGCCUGCCGCCAGCGUUCAAUCUGAGCCAGAUCAAACUCUGA